CUUCUCCUCUUGCGGCCCGCCGGAGACUUCGGCUCGACCCUCCCGGCUUGCGACCCGGGAGCCCACGCCCGCAGCAGCAGGAAUGUGGUUUUAUUUGGGUGGCGACUUCUGCGGACCCCUCAGUCUCAAGAGAGCGAGGCGGGAGGACUGAGGGGUCUGUGUUCACCCGAUGACCGUGGCCUUUUUGAUAAUCCACUGCGGGGCCCUCCCGUUGCGGAAGGCGCUCUCCCCGGGCGCGGUUCUGGUGGGCAUGUCUUCCAAGAGCGAUGCGAGUGUCAGUGGUUCCCGAAUCACUUUGGAAAUUGGCCUUUCACUCGCUGACUUCUUGGAAGCUACGACAAAGCACAGGCACCCUGGUGAAUGUGGCUUUUCAGAAGUACUCGAAGGAUACUUAAUGUGAGAUGUAAAGGAGACGCACUUGGAGGGACCAGAGGCUGGUCUUUAGAGGGUAGAUUUUGGACCGUGUAAUACCAUUCCCAACCUAUUUUAUAAUUUUUGGAUUCCUUCAUUUCAUCAAAACCCAGUGGAAAAUUCAUUGCCAGUU
Long non-coding RNA from Homo sapiens (human), 544 nucleotides. The record is from Ensembl. Lineage: Eukaryota; Metazoa; Chordata; Mammalia; Primates; Hominidae.